Molecule: unclassified non-coding RNA, 240 nt
Filed under: soil metagenome
Description: partial contains 5.8S ribosomal RNA, internal transcribed spacer 2, and large subunit ribosomal RNA
Source: RNAcentral
AACCAUAGAAACCUGCGGAGUACCUGCGGAAGGAUCAUUACCGAAGUACAGGCCCUUUUACAGGGCUAAACUUCCACCCCUUGUUUACUAUUCUUUGUUGCUUUGGCGAGACGUCUUCGGACCACCGGCUCUUGGGCUGGUGAGCGCUCGCCAGAGGAAAAUCAAACCCAAACCUUUUUUAGUGUCGUCUGAGAAACAAGUUUAAUUAUUAAAACUUUUAACAAUGGAUCUCAGAUCGGA